GGAGUUAGCCGGUGCUUCUUCUGUGAGUGAUGUCCUUCCUGCCGGCUAUUAACCCGCAGGCCUUCUUCCUCACUGAAAGUGCUUUACAACCCGAAGGCCUUCUUCACACACGCGGCAUGGCUGGAUCAGGGUUGCCCCCAUUGUCCAAUAUUCCCCACUGCUGCCUCCCGUAGUAGUCUGGGCCGUGUCUCAGUCCCAGUGUGGCUGAUCAUCCUCUCAGACCAGCUACGGAUCGUCGCCUUGGUGAGCCGUUACCUCACCAACCAGCUAAUCCGACAUAGGCUCAUCCGAUAGCGCGAGGCCCGAAGGUCCCCCGCUUUCCCCCGUAGGGCGUAUGCGGUAUUAGCCUGGGUUUCCCCAGGUUAUCCCCCACUACCGGGCAGAUUCCUAUGCAUUACUCACCCGUCCGCCGCUCGCCACCAGGGAGCAAGCUCCCCGUGCUGCCGCUCGACUUGCAUGUGUUAGGCCUGCCGCCAGCGUUCAAUCUGAGCCAGGAUCAAACUCUGA
RNAcentral lists this ribosomal RNA (507 nucleotides) under uncultured bacterium. Its description in RNAcentral is "partial 16S ribosomal RNA". The record is from RNAcentral.